RNAcentral lists this ribosomal RNA (482 nucleotides) under uncultured bacterium. RNAcentral describes it as "partial 16S ribosomal RNA". It matches the Rfam family "Bacterial small subunit ribosomal RNA", at positions 28 to 507 of the family's 1533-position model. The record is from RNAcentral.
GACGAACGCUGGCGGCGUGCUUAACACAUGCAAGUCGAACGAUGAAGAAGAGAAACGCGAACUUCGGUUCAAAUUUCACUUCGGAUUAGUGGCAGACGGGUGAGUAACGCGUGAGCAACCUACCUCUUACAAGGGGAUAGCCUCGGGAAACCGUGAUUAAUACCAUAUGACACAUUCAUAAGGCAUCUUAAGAAUGUUAAGGCUACGGCGGUAAGAGAUGGGCUCGCGUCCCAUUAGCUAGUUGGUGAGGUAACGGCCCACCAAGGCGACGAUGGGUAACCGGCCUGAGAGGGUGAACGGUCACAUUGGAACUGAGACACGGUCCAAACUCCUACGGGAGGCAGCAGUGGGGAAUAUUGCACAAUGGAGGGAACUCUGAUGCAGCGACGCCGCGUGAGCGAUGAAGGAAUUCGUUUCGUAAAGCUCUGUUCUAUGGGAAGAAAAGGACUGUACCAUAGGAGAAAGCCCCGGCUAAAUACGUG